RNAcentral lists this ribosomal RNA (405 nucleotides) under Triticum aestivum (bread wheat). RNAcentral's name for it is "partial small subunit ribosomal RNA". The record is from RNAcentral. Lineage: Eukaryota; Viridiplantae; Streptophyta; Magnoliopsida; Poales; Poaceae.
AUGCUUCAUACCGGGUUUUCCACUCCCAAUUGUGUCUUCCAUGAAGAUUUUGCUUGUGAGUUCAUCUAUCAUUUGUUGUGCGGAUUCCUUGCUGAGCAGGGUACACUUUCUCAGUUCUCAUGUUGUGGCCCUGAUGCUCAGAAUGGUUUGUUGAGUGUAAGCAUCGUCAACUUCUUGAGGCGGCUUAUGCAUCGAAGAUCAACACCUCUCUAUCACCUCACUUUUGGGUUGAAGUUGUUUCUACUUCCACCUACCCCGUCAAAGUCAGCCUUCCUUGCUUUGCAAGGUGACAUUCCUAUCGAGUGUUUGUUUGUCGUUCUCAUGGCUACUGAGCGCUUCAUUUGUUUUGUUGUGUUUACUACGUUCUUCUCCCCCCCCCCUGAACGCGCCAAACUGACUGCUUAG